Molecule: ribosomal RNA, 274 nt
Filed under: uncultured bacterium
Lineage: Bacteria
Description: partial 16S ribosomal RNA
Rfam family: Bacterial small subunit ribosomal RNA
Source: RNAcentral
AUACGGAGGGUGCAAGCGUUGUUCGGAAUCACUGGGCGUAAAGGGCGCGCAGGCGGUUUGGUAAGUCAGAUGUGAAAGCCCACGGCUCACCCGUGGAAGUGCAUUUGAAACUGUCAGACUUGAGUACUAGAGGGGAAAGUGGAAUUCCCGGUGUAGAGGUGAAAUUCGUAGAUAUCGGGAGGAAUACCGGUGGCGAAGGCGACUUUCUGGCUAGAUACUGACGCUGAGGCGCGAAAGCGUGGGGAGCAAACAGGAUUAGAAACCCGGGUAGUCC